RNAcentral lists this transfer RNA (74 nucleotides) under Deltaproteobacteria bacterium. Its description in RNAcentral is "tRNA-Asp". It matches the Rfam family "tRNA". From Rfam's summary of the family: Transfer RNA (tRNA) molecules are approximately 80 nucleotides in length. The record is from RNAcentral. Lineage: Bacteria; Pseudomonadati; Myxococcota; Myxococcia.
GGAGUGGUAGUUCAGUCGGUUAGAACGCUGGCCUGUCAAGCCAGAGGCCGCGGGUUCAAGUCCCGUCCGCUCCG